ACCGUACUGUGUUAGGGCUCGGACGCGAA
RNAcentral lists this small RNA (29 nucleotides) under Bombyx mori (domestic silkworm). RNAcentral describes it as "ovarian small RNA-11329". Lineage: Eukaryota; Metazoa; Arthropoda; Insecta; Lepidoptera; Bombycidae. The record is from RNAcentral.